Molecule: ribosomal RNA, 900 nt
Filed under: Triticum aestivum (bread wheat)
Lineage: Eukaryota; Viridiplantae; Streptophyta; Magnoliopsida; Poales; Poaceae
Description: partial small subunit ribosomal RNA
Source: RNAcentral
CCAGACCAGAAAAAAAAACACCAGACCCUUCGACCCCGACCUGUUCGAUCCCCAAUCUAACCUCUCUCUCUCUCUCUCCAUCUCACCACCCACACACCCUAACCCUAACCCGACCGCGCCGCCGCUCCCAACCUGCGCGCCUCCGCCCCAAACCACCCGCCGGUCCCCCGCGCCACCACAUCUCGGACCCCGGCCUCCCUUCCCUUAGUCCGCAGUAGCAACAGCGCCGUCUGCGACGGAGCAGCGCCGUCCGCCGCCGAGGAACAGCAGCGCUGUCCGCCACCAAGGAUCCGCCGCGCGCCGGGAACAGCAGCACCAUACGCCGGAGGAUCCGCCGCACCGACUGCUGUUGAGGAGGAGCCCGCCGUUCUUCUUCCUCCACCGGCGACCCCUGCCCCGGCCCCGCCUCUAGAUUUCAACAAGAAUUUGCAGCAGGAUCCCUUGCCUGUGCUCUCCGCUUGUCCUCACUCCUUAGACCUUCCCUUUGCUUAUCACCAUACAUUUUAUUCAGAGUGGUGUCAAGAUGCAUCUCCUCUGCCAAGAUGAUGGGCAGAGGGCCUAAGCUCUAGGGUCAAAUGGCGGGAAGUAUCAAGUCAAAGAUAUUAUGGCUUUUGUACAUCUUCUAUUUUCUUUAAAUGGAAGUUGGUGUUGGUUUGGUGAUCGAAGACUUGGGCUCUUCCAUAGUGUUUUGUAGAGUGAUCGAACACUUAAGUCUCUUAUGAACUAGGACCAUAAUUUGUAACAUGCCACAACUUGUAUGUUGAGUUGAGUAUUUGUUUCAAUGGUUGUAACAAGGAAAACUGAUCUUCUAUAUAUGUUGAAUAAAUGCUUUGGUCAAUGGCAUUUUGUGAUGAAUAGAAGAGUGUAAUUGUUGGUAUAUCUACUGCAAAGUGAACAUGA